This 405-nucleotide ribosomal RNA is filed under the name uncultured bacterium. Its description in RNAcentral is "partial 16S ribosomal RNA". It matches the Rfam family "Bacterial small subunit ribosomal RNA", at positions 30 to 526 of the family's 1533-position model. The record is from RNAcentral.
AUUGAACGCUAGCGGGAGGCUUUACACAUGCAAGUCGAACGAGUGGCGGCCGGGUGAGUAAUAUAUCGGAACGUGCCCAGUAGCGGGGGAUAACUACUCGAAAGAGUGGCUAAUACCGCAUACCCUCGGAUCGGCCGAUCUCGGAUUAGCUAGUUGGUGGGGUAAAGGCUCAACAAGGCAACGAUCCGUAGCGUGUUUGAGAGGACGACCAGCCACACGGGGACUGAGACACGGCCCAGACUCCUACGGGAGGCAGCAGUGGGGAAUUUUGGACAAUGGGGGAAACCCGGAUCCAGCCAUCCCGCGUGUAUGAGAAGGCCUUCGGGUUGUAAAGUACUUUUGGCGGAGAAGCGGUAUCUGCAGAAUAAGCACCGGCUAACUACGUGCCAGCAGCCGCGGUAAUUC